GAUGAAGAACGUAGCGAAAUGCGAUAAGUAAUGUGAAUUGCAGAAUUCAGUGAAUCAUCGAAUCUUUGAACGCACAUUGCGCCCAUUAGUAUUCUAGUGGGCAUGCCUGUUCGAGCGUCAUUUCAACCCUUAAGCCUAGCUUAGUAUUGGGAAUCGACUUUACUGUCGUUCCUCAAAUUCAACGGCGGAUUUAUAGCAAUCUCUGAACGUAGUAAUUUUUUUCCUCGUUUUUGAAAUACUAUAAACCUCAGCCGCUAAACCCCCAAUUUUUCUAUGGUUGACCUCGGAUCAGGUAGGAAUACCCGCUGAACUUAAGCAUAUCAAUAAGCGGGA
RNAcentral lists this unclassified non-coding RNA (333 nucleotides) under soil metagenome. RNAcentral's name for it is "partial contains 5.8S ribosomal RNA, internal transcribed spacer 2, and large subunit ribosomal RNA". The stretch from base 1 to 120 matches the Rfam family "5.8S ribosomal RNA", at positions 35 to 154 of the family's 154-position model. The record is from RNAcentral.